UACCCAGAAGAGUGGCUCAAGUUCACAUUCAGAAUUUAUUUGUUGAAAGAGUAUCUCCACUUUAUCACAAUCGAGCACUUCCAAUUCUUUCAGAAGUGGCCAGCUUGAACUAAACCUUCUAGAGCAAAAUCUUUUCAGUUGGUGUAAACCGGAGAGUGUGAGAGAGGUAAGGUUAGGGAAUAAGAGUAAAGGUGCUGCUUCAUCUUCAUUUUCAUUGGCAACAAUUGCCUCCACUCCACUCUCCGAUAUAUAUAGGUCCUCAAGAUGCACAAGAGCACUCGCCACAGAAACCGGAAAAAGGUUUAGCAGUUUGUUGCAUCCCCUUACUUGCAAUUUCCUUAAUUUGGAAAAUGAAUUUGCUGGAAGUUGGUCAGGCCACAAUGCUCUUAUAUUAUCUAGUCCGCGUACAGACAAGGACUCCAACCCUGGGAGUGCAACCUCUGCAAUUGAUGAUCCCUUUAGUUAAUAAUAUAUACAUAUACAUUCCUAAUAAUUAGACACAUGUAAAUAGAAAAUAAGAGGUUAAAGGAGAAUAUAUCAGUAUAACAAAGCACAAAAUUUAAACUAGAUUCAAGAAGAUCAAGAAAGAGAAAAGAAAAGAAAAAGCCUCCAGAUUUUGAAGAUACAAUGAAACUUAAAAAAAAAAAAAAAAACCUUCAAAUUUUCCUUUCGAAAUGAGCUAAUAAGAGGAUUUUUUUUUUCUUUUUUCUUUGCAUCUCUUUCAAAUUUGAUUAACUUCUAUGGAAAACGUAUUUUAACUAGUUAUGGAAAACGGAUAUUUUUUUUUUAACUUUUAUAUAAGAUACAAGUAAUACUUUAAAAAAAUUGUGAUAUCUAAAUAAUUUUUUGAAAAAUUAUUUUGAAAGAAAUAAGGUAAAUCUAUACUUUUUGUAUAAGAUGUUCAACCUUUAUAUACAAAUUUCUAAUUUUUUUUUUUAAAGUGUAUCCAAAUGGACACUAAACUAUCUAGUUUUUAAUUGUUACAACUUUGAAUUGGAUUUUAUGGUAAACUAAUUUACAAGUUAAUGCAUGGAUUCAUCUUAGAUUCCAUCUAUAAAUUUUUUUAAUUAUCUAAUAUAAGACAUUAUAUUAAUGGGUUGAAUUAAUAAUGUAAUUAUAAUUUAUUUGGCAACUUUCUUCCUUCAAAUAUAUAAAAUGAAAAUAAAUUUUAAAAAAUAAAAAAAAUGAAAAAAAUAAAAAAUAAAAAAAGAUUUUUUUUAUAGUUUUUCUAAGGUGAUUUUGUAGAGUAUUGUUAGUUUAUAGUUUUAACUUUAUUUCAUUUUACUUUUAACUUUAUUUAUUGAGGUAUGUUCUUUUUUGCAACUCUUGUUUAGAUUUUAUAGAGAAUAUAAAUUUUAAGAAAAAAAAUGAAAUUUAAAUAAAAUAAGAAUAAAGAAAGGCAAAAGGUGGAUGAAUUUUCUUAAGGCAAAAGUUUGAUAACUUGGCACUAUCAUGUAAUGGGUGAAAUUUUUAAAUACUCAACAAAGGCUAGUGAAAUUUAAAUUAAAAGCUUGACAUGUACCUUUUCGACCAAAAUCUUUGGAGUUGGUGUAAAGUUUUGAGUAUGAGAGAGGUUAGUAUAGGGAAUAUUAUUGCACAUUAGUUCAAAUAAAACAUCAACAUUUUUUUUUGUUAAAUUCUAAAUGAACACCACUAUAAAUUAAUGCGAUUUUGUAUGCUCAAUUAAAUAAACUCGUUCUUAAGGCAUCACAUGAAGUGUUUAAGUCUAAUUAAUAUUAAUUAAAAAUGAUUAUAUUAAAAAAAAUCCAAAGUAAUUUAUUUUUAUCAUAAGUCAAGUAGGAUAGUUUUAUAAAUAAUUGGUUCUAGUUUCUAGUAUUAUUGUACACAAUCGCUAUGUUUGUUGCACCUCCAAAAAAUCUACUACUUGUAAUUAAUUGUAUAUUAUUCUCCAUAUUCACAUCAGUUUAUGUAGUAUGAUUAAUUUAGCAACAAAAUAUAAGUUUACUUGAAAUCGCUUUAAAUUCCUAUGAUAUUAAAGUUUAAGAUUAAAACAAUGUAACAUUAGCCAAAAAGAUUAAGAUCUAUAAUGUAACAUAUAAAAUUUAGAAAAUUCAAGGAAGGGUAAACUCGCACCUGUUCUACCCAGAAGAGUGGCUCAAGUUCACAUUCAGAAUUUAUUUGUUGAAAGAGUAUCUCCACUUUAUCACAAUCGAGCACUUCCAAUUCUUUCAGAAGUGGCCAGCUUGAACUAAACCUUCUAGAGCAAAAUCUUUUGAGUUGGUGUAAACCGGAGAGUGUGAGAGAGGUAAGGUUAGGGAAUGAGAGUAAAGGUGCUGCUUCAUCUUCAUUUUCAUUGGCAACAAUUGCCUCCACUCCACUCUCCGAUAUAUAAAGGUCCUCAAGUUGCACAAGAGCACUCGCCACAGAAACCGGAAAAAGGUUUAGCAAUUUGUUGCAUCCCCUUCCUUGCAAUUUCCUUAAUUUGGAAAAUGAAUUUGCUGGAAGUUGGUCAGGCCACAAUGCUCUUAUAUUAUCUAGUCCACGUACAGACAAGGACUCCAAGCCUGGGAGUGCAACCUGUGCAAUUGAUGAUCCCUUUAGUUAAUAAUAUAUACAUAUACAUUCCUAAUAAUUAGACACAUGUAAAUAGAAAAUAAGAGGUUAAAGGAGAAUAUAUCAGUAUAACAAAGCACAAAAUUUAAACUAGAUUCAAGAAGAUCAAGAAAGAGAAAAGAAAAGAAAAAGCCUCCAGAUUUUGAAGAUACAAUGAAACUUAAAAAAAAAAAAAAAAAAACUUCCAAAUUUUCCUUUCGAAAUGAGGUAAUAAGAGGAUUUUUUUUUUCUUUUUUCUUUGCCUCUCUUUCAAAUUUGAUUAACUUCUAUGGAAAACGUAUUUUAACUAGUUAUGGAAAACCGAUUUUUUUUUUUUUAACUUUUAUAUAAGAUACAAGUAAUACUUUAAAAAAAUUGUGAUAUCUAAAUAAUUUUUUGAAAAAUUAUUUUUAAAGAAAUAAGGUAAAUCUAUACUUUUUGUACAAGAUGUUCUACCUUUAUAUACAAAUUUCUGAUUUUUUUUUUAAAAGUGUAUCCAAAUGGACACUAAACUAUCUAGUUUUUAAUUGUUACAACUUUGAAUUGGAUUUUAUGGUAAACUAAUUUACAAGUUAAUGCAUGGAUUCAUCUUAGAUUCCAUCUAUAAAUUUUUUUAAUUAUCUAAUAUAAGACAUUAUAUUAAUGAGUUGAAUUAAUAAUGUAAUUAUAAUUUAUUUGGCAACUUUCUUCCUUCAAAUAUAUAAAAUGAAAAUAAAGUUUAAAAAAUAAAAAAAAUGAAAAAAAUAAAAAAUAAAAAAUGAUUUUUUUUAUAGUUUUUCUAAGAUGAUUUUGUAGAGUACUGUUAGUUUAUAGUUUUAACUUUAUUUCAUUUUACUUUUAACUUUAUUUAUUGAGGUAUGUUCUUUUUUGAAACUCUUGUUUAGAUUUUAUAGAGAAUAUAAAUUUUAAGAAAAAAAAUGAAAUUUAAAUAAAAUAAGAAUAAAGAAAGGCAAAAGGUGGAUGAAUUUUUUUAAGGCAAAAGUUUGAUAACUUGGCACUAUCAUGUAAUGGGUGAAAUUUUUAAAUACUCAACAAAGGCUAGUGAAAUUUAAAUUAAAAGCUUGACAUGUACCUUUUCGACCAAAAUCUUUGGAGUUGGUGUAAAGUUUUGAGUAUGAGAGAGGUUAGUCUAGGGAAUAUUAUUGCACAUUAGUUCAAAUAAAACAUCAACAUUUUUUUUUUGUUAAAUUCUAAAUGAACACCGCUAUAAAUUAAUGCGAUUUUGUAUGCUCAAUUAAAUAAACUUGUUCUUAAGGCAUCACAUGAAGUGUUUAAGUCUAAUUAAUAUUAAUUAAAAAUGAUUAUAUUAAAAAAAAUCCAAAGUAAUUUAUUUUUAUCAUAAGUCAAGUAGGAUAGUUUUAUAAAUAAUUGGUUCUAGUUUCUAGUACUAUUGUACACAAUCGCUAUGUUUGUUGCACCUCCAAAAAAUCUACUACUUGUAAUUAAUUGUAUAUUAUUCUCCAUAUUCACAUCAGUUUAUGUAGUAUGAUUAAUUUAGCAACAAAAUAUAAGUUUACUUGAAAUCGCUUUAAAUUCCUAUGAUAUUAAAGUUUAAGAUUAAAACAAUGUAACAUUAGCCAAAAAGAUUAAGAUCUAUAAUGUAACAUAUAAUAUUUAGAAAAUUCAAGGAAGGGUAAACUCGCACCUGUUCUACCCAGAAGAGUGGCUCAAGUUCACAUUCAUAAUUUAUUUGUUGAAAGAGUAUCUCCACUUUAUCACAAUCGAGCACUUCCAAUUCUUUCAGAAGUGGCCAGCUUGAACUAAACCUUCUAGAGAAAAAUCUUUUGAGUUGGUGUAAACCGGAGAGUGUAAGAGAGGUAAGGUUAGGGAAUAAGAGUAAAAGUGCUGCUUCAUCUUCAUUUUCAUUGGCAACAAUUGCCUCCACUCCACUUUCCGAUAUAUAUAGGUCCUCAAGUUGCACAAGAGCACUCGCCACAGAAACCGGAAAAAGGUUUAGCAAUUUGUUGCAUCCCCUUACUUGCAAUUUCCUUAAUUUGGAAAAUGAAUUUGCUGGAAGUUGGUCAGACCACAAUGCUCUUAUAUUAUCUAGUCCGCGUACAGACAAGGACUCCAAACCUGGGAGUGCAACCUGUGCAAUUGAUGAUCCCUUUAGUUAAUAAUAUAUACAUAUACAUUCCUAAUAAUUAGACACAUGUAAAUAGAAAAUAAGAGGUUAAAGGAGAAUAUAUCAGUAUAACAAAGCACAAAAUUUAAACUAGAUUCAAGAAGAUCAAGAAAGAGAAAAGAAAAGAAAAAGCCUCCAGAUUUUGAAGAUACAAUGAAACUUAACAAAAAAAAAAAAAAACCACCAAAUUUUCCUUUCGAAAUGAGGUAAUAAGAGGAUUUUUUUUUUUUCUUUUUUCUUUGCCUCUCUUUCAAAUUUGAUUAACUUCUAUGGAAAACGUAUUUUAACUAGUUAUGGAAAACAUAUUUUUUUUUUAAAAAACUUUUCUAUAAGAUACAAGUAAUACUUUAAAAAAAUUGUGAUAUCUAAAAAAUUUUUUGAAAAAUUAUUUUUAAAGAAAUAAGGUAAAUCUAUACUUUUUGUAUAAGAUGUUCUACCUUUAUAUACAAAUUUCUGAUUUUUUUUUUAAAAGUGUAUCCAAAUGGACACUAAACUAUCUAGUUUUUAAUUGUUACAACUUUGAAUUGGAUUUUAUGGUAAACUAAUUUACAAGUUAAUGCAUGGAUUCAUCUUAGAUUCCAUCUAUAAAUUUUUUUAAUUAUCUAAUAUAAGACAUUAUAUUAAUGGGUUGAAUUAAUAAUGUAAUUAUAAUUUAUUUGGCAAGUUUCUUCCUUCAAAUAUAUAAAAUGAAAAUAAAUUUUAAAAAAUAAAAAAAAUGAAAAAAAUAAAAAAUAAAAAAAGAUUUUUUUUAUAGUUUUUCUAAGAUGAUUUUGUAGAGUACUGUUAGUUUAUAGUUUUAACUUUAUUUCAUUUUACUUUUAACUUUAUUUAUUGAGGUAUGUUCUUUUUUGAAACUCUUGUUUAGAUUUUAUAGAGGAUAUAAAUUUUCAGAAAAAAAAAAUUAAAUUUAAAUAAAAUAGGAAUAAAGAAAGGCAAAAGGUGGAUGAAUUUUUUUAAGGCAAAAGUUUGAUAACUUGGCACUAUCAUGUAAUGGGUGAAAUUUUUAAAUACUCAACAAAGGCUAGUGAAAUUUAAAUUAAAAGCUUGACAUGUACCUUUUCGACCAAAAUCUUUGGAGUUGGUGUAAAGUUUUGAGUAUGAGAGAGGUUAGUCUAGGGAAUAUUAUUGCACAUUAGUUCAAAUAAAACAUCAACAUUUUUUUUUUUGUUAAAUUCUAAAUGAACACCACUAUAAAUUAAUGCGAUUUGUAUGCUCAAUUAAAUAAACUCGUUCUUAAGGCAUCACAUGAAGUGUUUAAGUCUAAUUAAUAUUAAUUAAAAAUGAUUAUUUUAAAAAAAUCCAAAGUAAUUUAUUUUUAUCAUAAGUCAAGUAGGAUAGUUUUAUAAAUAAUUGGUUCUAGUUUCUAGUAUUAUUGUACACAAUCGCUAUGUUUGUUGCACCUCCAAAAAAUCUACUACUUGUAAUUAAUUGUAUAUUAUUCUCCAUAUUCACAUCAGUUUAUGUAGUAUGAUUAAUUUAGCAACAAAAUAUAAGUUUACUUGAAAUCGCUUUAAAUUCCUAUGAUAUUAAAGUUUAAGAUUAAAACAAUGUAACAUUAGCCAAAAAGACUAAGAUCUAUAAUGUAACAUAUAAAAUUUAGAAAAUUCAAGGAAGGGUAAACUCGCACCUGUUCUACCCAGAAGAGUGGCUCAAGUUCACAUUCAGAAUUUAUUUGUUGAAAGAGUAUCUCCACUUUAUCACAAUCGAGCACUUCCAAUUCUUUCAGAAGUGGCCAGCUUGAACUAAACCUUCUAGAGCAAAAUCUUUUGAGUUGGUGUAAACCGGAGAGUGUGAGAGAGGUAAGGUUAGGGAAUGAGAGUAAAGGUGCUGCUUCAUCUUCAUUUUCAUUGGCAACAAUUGCCUCCACUCCACUCUCCGAUAUAUAAAGGUCCUCAAGUUGCACAAGAGCACUCGCCACAGAAACCGGAAAAAGGUUUAGCAAUUUGUUGCAUCCCCUUACUUGCAAUUUCCUUAAUUUGGAAAAUGAAUUUGCUGGAAGUUGGUCAGGCCACAAUGCUCUUAUAUUAUCUAGUCCGCGUACAGACAAGGACUCCAAACCUGGGAGUGCAACCUGUGCAAUUGAUGAUCCCUUUAGUUAAUAAUAUAUACAUAUACAUUCCUAAUAAUUAGACACAUGUAAAUAGAAAAUAAGAGGUUAAAGGAGAAUAUAUCAGUAUAACAAAGCACAAAAUUUAAACUCUAUUCAAGAAGAUCCAGAAAGAGAAAAGAAAACGCCUUUUGAUUUUGAAGAUCCAAUGAAACUUUAAAAAAAAAAAAAAAAACCUCCAAAUUUUGCUUUCCAAAUGAGGUAAUAGGAGGAUAUUUUUAUUUUAUUUUUUCUUUGCCUCUCUUUCAAAUUUGAUUAACUUCCAUGGAAAACGUAUUUUAACUAGCCAUGGAAAAUGGAUUUUUUUUUUAAAACUUUUAUAUAAGAUACAAGAACUCUUAGAGGGUUACAUUAUGUAAGUAAUACUUUAAAAAAAAUGUUUAAAAAUAUUGUGAUAUCCAAAAAUUUUACUACCUCGGAUUUUAAAUUUUAAAAAAAUUAUUUUUAAAGAAAUAAGGUAAAUCUAUACUUUUUCGUAUAAGAUAUUCUACCUUUAUAUACAAAUUUCUGAUUUUUUUUUUAAAGUGUAUCCAAAUGGACACUAAACUAUCUAGUUUCGAAUUUUUACAACUUUGAAUUGGAUUUUAUGGUAAACUAAUUGACAAUAUAACGCAUGGAUUCAUCUUAGAUUCCAUCUAUAAAUUUUUUAAUUAUCUAAUAUAAGACAUUAUAUUAAUGGGUUGAAUUAAUAAUGUAAUUAUAAUUUAUUUGGCAACUUUCUUCCUUCAAAUAUAUAAGACGAAAAUAUAUUUUAAAAAAUAAAAAAGAAUGAUAAAAAAUAGAAAAUAAAAAUAGCUUAUUUUAUUGUUUUUCUAAGAUGAUUUUGUAGAGUGUUAGUUUAUAGUUUAACUUUAUUUCAUUUUACUUUUAACAUUAUUUAUUGAGGUAUGUUCUUUUUUGAAACUCUUGUUUAGAUUUUAUAGAGAAUAUAAAUUUUAAGAAAAAAAAUGAAAUUUAAAUAAAAUAAGAAUAAAGAAAGGCAAAAGGUGGAUGAAUUUUUUGAAGGCAAAAGUUUGAUAAUUUGGCACUGUCAUGUAAUGGGUGAAAUUUUUAAAUACUCAACAAAGGCUAGUGAAAUUUAAAUUAAAACCUUGACAUGUACCUUUUCGACCAAAAUCUUUGGAGUUGGUGUAAAGUUUUGAGUAUGAGAGAGGUUAGUCUAGGGAAUAUUAUUGCACAUUAGUUCAAAUAAAACAUCAACAUUUUUUUUUGUUAAAUUCUAAAUGAACACCACUAUAAAUUAAUGCGAUUUUGUAUGCUCAAUUAAAUAAACUCGUUCUUAAGGCAUCACAUGAAGUGUUUAAGUCUAAUUAAUAUUAAUUAAAAAUGAUUAUAUCAAAAAAAAUCCAAAGUAAUUUUUUUUUAUCAUAAGUCAAGUAGGAUAGUUUUAUAAAUAAUUGGUUCUAGUUUCUAGUAUUAUUGUACACAAUCGCUAUGUUUGUUGCACCUCCAAAAAAUCUACUACUUGUAAUUAAUUGUAUAUUAUUCUCCAUAUUCACAUCAGUUUAUGUAGUAUGAUUAAUUUAGCAACAAAAUAUAAGUUUACUUGAAAUCGCUUUAAAUUCCUAUGAUAUUAAAGUUUAAGAUUAAAACAAUGUAACAUUAGCCAAAAAGACUAAGAUCUAUAAUGUAACAAAUAAAAUUUAGAAAAUUCAAGGCAGGGUAAACUCGCACCUGUUCUACCCAGAAGAGUGGCUCAAGUUCACAUUCAGAAUUUAUUUGUUGAAAGAGUAUCUCCACUUUAUCACAAUCGAGCACUUCCAAUUCUUUCAGAAGUAGCCAGCUUGAACUAAACCUUCUAGAGCAAAAUCUUUUGAGUUGGUGUAAACCGGAGAGUGUGAGAGAGGUAAGGUUAGGGAAUAAGAGUAAAGGUGCUGCUUCAUCUUCAUUUUCAUUGGCAACAAUUGCCUCCACUCCACUCUCCGAUAUAUAUAGGUCCUCAAGUUGCACAAGAGCACUCGCCACAGAAACCCGAAAAAGGUUUAGCAAUUUGUUGAAUCCCCUUACAUGCAAUUUCCUUAAUUUGGAAAAUGAAUUUGUUGGAAGUUGGUCAGGCCACAAUGCUCUUAUAUUAUCCAGUCCGCAUACAUACAAGGACUCCAAGCCUUGGAGUGCAACCUGUGCAAUUGAUAAUCCCUUUGGUUAAUAAUAUAUACAUAUACAUUCCUAAUGAUUAGACACAUGUAAAUAGAAAAUAAGAGGUUAAAGGAGAAUAUAUCAGUAUAACAAAGCACAAAAUUUAAACUAGAUUAAAGAAGAUCAAGAAAGAGAAAAGAAAAGAAAAAGCCUCCAGAUUUUGAAGAUACAAUGAAACUUAAAAAAAAAAAAAAAAAACCUCCAAAUUUUCCUUUCGAAAUGAGGUAAUAAGAGGAUUUUUUUUUUCUUUUUUCUUUGCCUCUCUUUCAAAUUUGAUUAACUUCUAUGGAAAACGUAUUUUAACUAGUUAUGGAAAACGGAUUUUUUUUUUUAAAAACUUUUAUAUAAGAUACAAGUAAUACUUUAAAAAAAUUGUGAUAUCUAAAAAAUUUUUUGAAAAAUUAUUUUUAAAGAAAUAAGGUAAAUCUAUACUUUUUGUAUAAGAUGUUCUACCUUUGUAUUCAAAUUUCUGAUUUUUUUUUUUUAAAGUGUAUCCAAAUGCACACUAAACUAUCUAGUUUUUAAUUGUUACAACUUUGAAUUGGAUUUUAUGGUAAACUAAUUUACAAGUUAAUGCAUAGAUUCAUCUUAGAUUCCAUCUAUAAAUUUUUUUAAUUAUCUAAUAUAAGACAGUAUAUUAAUGGGUUGAAUUAAUAAUGUAAUUAUAAUUUAUUUGGCAACUUUCUUCCUUCAAAUAUAUAAAAUGAAAAUAAAUUUUAAAAAAUAAAAAAUAAAAAAAAGAUUUUUUUUAUAGUUUUUCUAAGAUGAUUUUGUAGAGUUCUGUUAGUUUAUAGUUUUCACUUUAUUUAUUGAGGUAUGUUCUUUUUUGAAACUCUUGUUUAGAUUUUAUUGAGAAUAUAAAUUUUAAGAAAAAAAAUAAAAUUUAAAUAAAAUAAGAAUAAAGAAAGGCAAAAGCUGGAUGAAUUUUUUUAAGGCAAAAGUUUGAUAAUUUGGCACUCUCAUGUAAUGGGUGAAAUUUUUAAAUACUCAACAAAGGCUAGUGAAAUUUAAAUUAAAACCAUGACAUGUACCUUUUAGACCAAAAUCUUUGGAGUUGGUGUAAUGUUUUGAGUAUGAGAGAGGUUAGUCUAGGGAAUAUUAUUGCACAUUAGUUCAAAUAAAACAUCAACAUUUUUUUUUGUUAAAUUCUAAAUGAACACCACUAUAAAUUAAUGCGAUUUUGUAUGCUCAAUUAAAUAAACUCGUUCUUAAGGCAUCACAUGAAGUGUUUAAGUCUAAUUAAUAUUAAUUAAAAAUGAUUAUAGUAAAAAAAAUCCAAAGUAAUUUUUUUUUAUCAUAAGUCAAGUAGGAUAGUUUUAUAAAUAAUUGGUUCUAGUUUCUAGUAUUAUUGUAGACAAUCGCUAUGUUUGUUGCACCUCCAAAAAAUCUACUACUUGUAAUUAAUUGUAUAUUAUUCUCCAUAUUCACAUCAGUUUAUGUAGUAUGAUUAAUUUAGCAACAAAAUAUAAGUUUACUUGAAAUGGCUUUAAAUUCCUAUGAUAUUAAAGUUUAAGAUUAAAACAAUGUAACAUUAGCAAAAAAGAUUAAGAUCUAUAAUGUAACAAAUAAAAUUUAGAAAAUUCAAGGCAGGGUAAACUCGCACCUGUUCUACCCAGAAGAGUGGCUCAAGUUCACAUUCAGAAUUUAUUUGUUGAAAGAGUAUCUCCACUUUAUCACAAUCGAGCACUUCCAAUUCUUUCAGAAGUAGCCAGCUUGAACUAAACCUUCUAGAGCAAAAUCUUUUGAGUUGGUGUAAACCGGAGAGUGUGAGAGAGGUAAGGUUAGGGAAUAAGAGUAAAGGUGCUGCUUCAUCUUCAUUUUCAUUGGCAACAAUUGCCUCCACUCCACUCUCUGAUAUAUAUAGGUCCUCAAGUUGCACAAGAGCACUCGCCACAGAAACCCGAAAAAGGUUUAGCAAUUUGUUGAAUCCCCUUACAUGCAAUUUCCUUAAUUUGGAAAAUGAAUUUGUUGGAAGUUGGUCAGGCCACAAUGCUCUUAUAUUAUCCAGUCCGCAUACAUACAAGGACUCCAAGCCUGGGAGUGCAACCUGUGCAAUUGAUAAUCCCUUUGGUUAAUAAUAUAUACAUAUACAUUCCUAAUAAUUAGACACAUGUAAAUAGAAAAUAAGAGGUUAAAGG
Molecule: long non-coding RNA, 11059 nt
Filed under: Vitis vinifera (wine grape)
Lineage: Eukaryota; Viridiplantae; Streptophyta; Magnoliopsida; Vitales; Vitaceae
Description: long non-coding RNA (VVIN_LNC003280)
Source: RNAcentral